RNAcentral lists this ribosomal RNA (247 nucleotides) under uncultured Gardnerella sp. Its description in RNAcentral is "partial 16S ribosomal RNA". It matches the Rfam family "Bacterial small subunit ribosomal RNA", at positions 108 to 356 of the family's 1533-position model. Lineage: Bacteria; Bacillati; Actinomycetota; Actinomycetes; Bifidobacteriales; Bifidobacteriaceae. The record is from RNAcentral.
GAGUAAUGCGUGACCAACCUGCCCCAUGCUCCAGAAUAGCUCUUGGAAACGGGUGGUAAUGCUGGAUGCUCCAACUUGACGCAUAUCUUGUUGGGAAAGUGUUUAGUGGCAUGGGAUGGGGUCGCGUCCUAUCAGCUUGUAGGCGGGGUAAUGGCCCACCUAGGCUUCGACGGGUAGCCGGCCUGAGAGGGCGGACGGCCACAUUGGGACUGAGAUACGGCCCAGACUCCUACGGGAGGCAGCAGCG